This is a long non-coding RNA of Lutra lutra (Eurasian river otter), 1841 nucleotides long. RefSeq lists it as uncharacterized. The record is from RefSeq and is a predicted model, not a curated record. The transcript has 3 exons. Lineage: Eukaryota; Metazoa; Chordata; Mammalia; Carnivora; Mustelidae.
GGCACUGCCAGCCUCUGGGUCCCGGGCCAGGACCCUGCAGCGCAGUGAAUUGCUGGUGUGGCUUAAGCCUGAUGUCACAAACAGACACAGGAAGGGGCCGGCAAAGGAUUGCACAUGUGUGCGGCUCCAUUUCCUAAAACCACCCAGCCCGGCACAGAGAGGGUUGCUGUACUGAGCCACACUCGAACCCAGGAUCAGGACGGCCACUGAAGGCACCUGAGUGUUCACUCCUCCUUGGACAGUCCUUUGGCUAAUCAGGCUGCGAAAAAUUAUAAAAGCAUUGCCUCUUAGAGCAGAAAGAACCUACGUAUCCCUGAAUCCAGCGACCCUCAGGUCCACCCUGGAGCAGGAGAGAAUCAGUAAGGAUGAUGUAGUGACUUGCCCCAAAAGCUGAAUUCAAACCCUGAAUGUAUGCAAUUUAAAUUCGAUGGCUUAGAUGGGGGCUUAUCAUUUAAGGAAACAAACAAACCAAAAACCCCUUGCAUUUGGUGUUACAAUAUCCCUUAGGAAAUAAUGGUGGUGGUGCUAAUAUUUGCUAGUGUGUGUUAUGCGCAGCCACGUGCCGGGCGUUGGGCCGAAGGCUCUGCACUUUGUCUCCUUUCAUCGACACAAGAUCCCCACAAGGCGGACGCUCUUAUCAGUCCGAGUUUACCUCCAAGGGAACAAGGACACUGAGAUCCAGGAGGCAGAAGUCCCGCCUGCACACGCCGACUCAGGACCUGAGCGCGGGCGGCUGACUUGCCUGUGCGCACUCAGUCACCCCGCCCUCCUGCCUCCGGAGAUCCCAGCUGGAGUUCGGUGGCUAGGUGAAAAUGAGAGUCAGGCAAACUUGCUGGAGCCUCAUGCCUUCUUAAAGAACCUGCGCUGGUCUAGAAACCUGGAACCCCAGGAGCUGUGAGAUAGCCCAUCCCGGCCAUUCGACAGACACCAGGGAGGACGGAUUGGGUGACGCAGCAUCACCGGGCAGGUUGGGAACACAGUUAGAUCAAGGGGAGAAUUGGCCUGGCGGAUUUUCAGCAUUUGUAAGACAUGAGCAUUGGGGGAUUUCCUUUGAUCUGGACAAUGGCUGACUAAAGGAAAGGCAGCUUCUAGAAAUAAAUUCAGAAAACAAUUCUUCUAACCUAUGUCUCCCCAGGGACAUCCUGGCUUUGCCAUUGUAUUUCGGGGUAGCUCCAGGAAUGUGUCCACAUUCCUCAACGGAGCGGGAAUUUCCAGGCCUUGGGCUCCUACUAGAUGCUGCCUCUCCGGCCACAAAGGAGAAGUCUGGAGGCACAUUCUCGCCUCUCCCCCCUGCAGUACCUCUUCCCACUCCGGGAGCGCCUUUCCCGUUGGCUGUCUCCAUGGUGAAGGCGGUCUUGUCACAUUUCACAUCGUGUUCUAUCUCUGCCCCUCAUGUCAGUCCUCCUUUGGGGGUGCACCAGGAAGGAAAGGCAGUGCCUUACAUGGUUCUGCACCUGCUCCAGCAUAGGAGAGCUCCGGAAAGGUUUGCUGAGCGGAUGCAGCAACCACAGGAUGGGUAUGACCUUGGGCCACCCAGCUCUCUGCGGCUGAGACCAACCCUGAAGAACCUGACAGCUGUGCUUGUCUGAUGACAGCAUUCCCAGCAGCUGGAGAAGCAAGUCCUCCGGUGAAAGGGGGGUCUGGUAUCCCAUCCCAGUGUCCACCAAAAGUACGUCCCCAGCAGAAGGGGGGUUAGAAACCUGAGCCUGUAAGCCAGCAGCUGGAACACAGCAGCAGUAUCUUCCUGCAUGACAGGCAUCAGCCCACAGAGGAGUAGGAGCUCAGGGUUUCACUGAGACCUAACUUUUUUUUUUUUUAAGAUUUUAUUUAUUUAUUUGACA